RNAcentral lists this unclassified non-coding RNA (372 nucleotides) under uncultured bacterium. Its description in RNAcentral is "contains 16S-23S intergenic spacer region". The record is from RNAcentral.
UCCGGUUUGACGCCGGCAGUCUCCCUAGAGUCCCCGGCAUUACCCGCUGGCAACUAGGAACAGGGGUUGCGCUCGUUGCCGGACUUAACCGAACAUCUCACGACACGAGCUGACGACAGCCAUGCGGCACCUUCCAUCGCGCCCCGAAGGGACCCUCCCUUUCGGGAGGUAGCACGAUGAAUUUAGCCCAGGUAAGGUUCCUCGCGUUGCAUCGAAUUAAGCCACAUGCUCCACCGCUUGUGCGGGCCCCGUCAAUUCCUUUGAGUUUCAUCGUUGCCGACGUACUCCCCAGGUGGAUCACUUAACGCUUUCGCUUGGCCGCUGACUGUGUAUCGCCAACAGCGAGUGAUCAUCGUUUACGGCGUGGACUAC